GACGAACGUUGGCGGCGUGCUUAAUACAUGCAAGUCAACUGAAGCACCGGUAGUAAUACUGGUGUGGAGGUGGCGCACGGGUGAGUAACACGUAGGUAAUCUGCCUUCAGGUCUGACAUAACCCCGAGAAAUCGGGGCUAAUAGCAGAUGAUGCAGCGGCUUGACAUCAAAGACAGUUGUUAAAGCUUCGGCGCCUGAAGAUGAGCCUGCGUCUGAUUAGCUAGUUGGCGGAGUAAUAGCCCACCAAGGCGACGAUCAGUAGCUGGUCUGAGAGGAUGAUCAGCCACACUGGAACUGAGACACGGUCCAGACUCCUACGGGAGGCAGCAGUAAGGAAUAUUGCUCAAUGGGAGAAAUCCUGAAGCAGCAACGCCGCGUGAGGGAUGAAGGGCUUUUGCUCGUAAACCUCUGUAGUGAGGGAAAAAUUUCCAUUCUAUGGAAUAUGAUGGUACCU
Molecule: ribosomal RNA, 454 nt
Filed under: uncultured bacterium
Lineage: Bacteria
Description: bacterial SSU rRNA
Rfam family: Bacterial small subunit ribosomal RNA
Source: RNAcentral